Molecule: long non-coding RNA, 1258 nt
Organism: Halichondria panicea
Lineage: Eukaryota; Metazoa; Porifera; Demospongiae; Suberitida; Halichondriidae
Exons: 3
Source: RefSeq, a predicted model, not a curated record
AUAUAUACUUUAAAUUCAUAAUAAUUAUACAUAAUAAUUUAUAUAUAUAAUUAUAAAGCUAUACCUAUACUAUAUAGCUAUAGACUUAUAAUUAUAGAUUCACUAUAGCUAUAGUGAAACCCAAAUAACUAGCUAGCUAGCUAUAGAUCCACUGCACGUCAUGCAGGAGAAUUUGGAAGAGCUGGAAUUUAUAAGAAGGACAGCUGGUAGAAGAACAGUAUAAACCUGGAACAACAUGAACAAUGUGUUGCAUAUAGACUUUAUAGAGCUGUUAUGGGCCCCUGCAGUCCUUGAAAUAUUCUGAAAUAUUUCGAAAUCUUCUGAAAUCUUCUAAAAUCUUCUGAAAUCUCUAAAAUCAUUGAAAUCUUCCAAAAUCUUCUGAAAUCUCUAAAAUCUUCAAAAUCUCUGAAAUCCGUAAAAUCUUGUAAAAUCUCCCGAAUCUCGAGAUUUUAAAAUCCUGUACACAAAUUUUCAUAGUGUCGGACCCCUCGAUUCCAUUUGCUGGUCGACUGUCUAGCAAAGAAAGAUGCAUAACUUGGAAACAGUGACAGUUUUCUUUAUUAAACUUCUUAGCAAAGUAGUCUACUGUAGGUACUGUGUCAGGAUCUCCUGGUUUCCAACGAAACAGUCAACCAGCCAAGGGCCAGAGCAAGGGAUCACUUCAGAGGUAAGCUUUGUGUGCGUAUAUAGCAAGCAUUAUGUAGCAAGCAUUAUGUAGCUAGUAUAAGCUUUCAUAAGCCUUUGAGCUGAUUUAAUAUGCUUAUGCACUUGCCUAGAUAGCUUAUGAGUGUGUAAAGUAUACUUGUGUAGUAGCUGAGUUAGUUUAGAGCCUGUUUUUAGAGUGUAGUGUACAGUGUUUGAUAUUCAAUUUAUUUGUUUCAAUGUGGCAAAGAAAUGUGGCAAAGAAACAUGCACCCCUUAGUAACAGUAACAGUUCUCUUCAAGCUACUUCUAUCUGAACAGUCUAAGAGUCAACCAGCCAAGGACAGAGCGUGGCUGAGCGAGAGAUUAUUUUAGAACUGUGAGAAUGCUGGACAUCGGAAAGUUUGGGCCAACAGAUUGGUUGAGAUGAUGGUCUGUGAAACACUGCUAUCGGUCUGAGAAACACUGCUAUCGGUCUGAGAAGUCCUUACUACUAUCCAAUCCCCUGUGUACAGAGGCCUCUUUGUUAUUGUUGAGAUUGAUAUUGAAUUUAUAUUGAAUUUAUAUAAAUACAAAUUUCACAAGAAAUUUUAAGCAAAUUUUGAUUGCUAACCUA